UGGUGUUUGCUUGAGAGGCCAGUGCCACUCUAGAUCUCAUGUUGUUGCCUGUAUUUAUGUCCUGUUACCUGCUGCCAUGCACUUUCCUUGCUACUCAUAAAUGCUACUCAUUUAUGUGUAAACAUUUGGAGAAGGGUCAGUCAGUUAUCGUCUUAUCAACUACCUCUGAAAAGUAGGUAUUUAACAAAUAUUUUUGUCACUCUUUUUGUUGACGAAAUGAACACUCAUGCACACAUUCUCCAUUGCACUCUAAUACACAAUCCUAUUACCUGUUCCAAGAACUGAGUUUCAAAACAGCCAUUCCAAAAACGACACCUGUUGGGCCUGGUUGGAACUCAAAGAUUUUGUGACAUCUGAAUCUUCGAACAUCAUCGGUCGCGUGGUGUUGUACACUGCAUCGAAAACAAAGCUCUGAAAACUGAACGGUGUUUCGGAGCAUCGUGUUCAUUCGUCCUAUCCCUAACGAGCGGGUAUAACCCUUGAUUUUAUGUAGCAGGUAGAUUAGAGAUGUGGUAGGUUAGAGAGUGCUAGGCUGGUAAGGGGCAGGGAAGAGUAGGCUUUUUAGUUUCCUUUCUUUGAUUUUGACCCCAUUUGUUCAGCCCUUCUCUACCCCUGUAGUGUUACUCUGUGUAUGUAUAUUUGUAAAAAUCGUACUAAUUAUUUACUGAACAUUCCCCAUGGGGGUAACUGGUGUCUUUGUGUCCAUUCUUGUUAU
This is a long non-coding RNA of Esox lucius (northern pike), 715 nucleotides long. RefSeq lists it as uncharacterized. Lineage: Eukaryota; Metazoa; Chordata; Actinopteri; Esociformes; Esocidae. The record is from RefSeq and is a predicted model, not a curated record. The transcript has 3 exons.